AUCCAGCUGACGAGUCCCAAAUAGGGCGUAACGCGCGUCCUUGAU
This 45-nucleotide non-coding RNA is filed under the name Schistosoma mansoni. The record is from RNAcentral. Lineage: Eukaryota; Metazoa; Platyhelminthes; Trematoda; Strigeidida; Schistosomatidae.